Actinia tenebrosa (Australian red waratah sea anemone) is the source of this 304-nucleotide long non-coding RNA. NCBI's taxonomy places the organism in Eukaryota, Metazoa, Cnidaria, Anthozoa, Actiniaria, Actiniidae. The record is from RefSeq and is a predicted model, not a curated record.
AGUCUUUGCAAGAAAAGAGCGCUGAGUAUACGACGGAGACGAGUCGAUUAAAUGACGAAAUUAAAUCGUUGAGGACCCAAAGCGCUGAGAAAGAAGAAAGCAGCAAACAAGAGCUUUCAAAUUUAAUGGGAAUUCUAAAGAACGUAAAAGAAAAGCUUGAAGAAACAAAGACAAGGUAUGAAGAAAAAGAAGCUGAAGUUAAGAAUCAACAAGAACAAAUCAUCCAGUUGAGUAAUGAUCUUAGUGAAUCACAAGAAGCGAUGCUAGAACUGGGCGAGGUAAGGACUUUAGGGAUCGUUUAUUC